Molecule: long non-coding RNA, 1943 nt
Filed under: Marmota monax (woodchuck)
Lineage: Eukaryota; Metazoa; Chordata; Mammalia; Rodentia; Sciuridae
Source: RNAcentral
CUGGGCAAAGGGAGGGAGCUGAACCAUCAGCUCCAAGCGUCCACAAAGUCACCCACAAAAGGAAGAGGUGGAAAGAGCAGCCAGCUCUGAACCCCGACUUGGCAAUCCCAUCAAUUAGGACCUAGCAGUCCUCAUGCCUCUCCUCUCUCCCAUUGCUCUGACCCCACUGGGAUCCCAAGUGUCAGGGAAGAGAGGAAGGCAGCAACCAUACCCCAUUUCUGGUCUGCAGGGCUUUGCUGGCGGGGGUGGGGGAUAAAGAGUAAAUCUCUGAACACAGAUUAAGGCACUGAUCAAAAUAUUUAGCUGGACACUAAAAAUGAUGACAACUAGAACACUUGACACUUAGCAACUAAUUUCUAACUUUUCACUAUGUUAGCAGAAAAAUCAUGAGCCUGCUUGGUUGGGGGCAGUGGAAGCCUUCUUUUAUUGAAAAAAAAAUUAAAGGAGACAGUGGGAUAUUAAAAUAAGGAGGUGGUGUGAUUAUAUAAUACAGAGAAUACCUAGUCAAAUAUGAGCUGCCUUUGAUUCAUUAAUACUUUGAUUUGUUGGUAAGCCAGACAUGGUUUAUCCUUUUUGGUAUUAUCAUAGCAUUUCCAUUCAUUUACUAAUUAAUUUCUAAGCUUCCACUUGGAAGUAGAUUUUAGGUAGUAGACAUUCUAGGCACAUGCUGUAGUCCUCAGUGGCUCCCCAUUACCAUAAAAUCCAGAUGCCACUGGAGGAGAUAGGGACAUUUAUUAUCUGAACCCGACAUAAAGCUGGUCAGCCUCACCACAUGAGCCUGCAGGGACCUGUAGGGCAGGGAUCCCGUCUCUCAUUUCUCUGUCCCCAGUGCCUGGCAUGUAGUCAGACCUUCACAAGUAAGAGUAAAACAAGUAAGUAAAUGAAUAUGAGAUGACUUUUAUUCAGACGUAGUUUCUUUGUAGACUCUGAGCUUUUAAGAGGAGGGAAGUGUCUUCAUUUUUAUGUCCUUAGUGCUGGGCCCUGCACUUUGGAGUUUAUAGAAUGAGUGGUAAAGAAGCCUCGCUAUAUUUCUUUCUUGUGUACACCCUGGAACUUUUAUCUUGAAAGUGGAGCUCACUUUGGGUCACCAGCUCAAAGGAAAGAGAGCAGAGUACCAGAACAAUGAGUAGCAGAGCAAAUGUCCCAAGUUCUGCCACAGGAGCGCUCACCUCUCUCAUUUCCCCAGCCCAGAUCUGACCACUCCCGGGCUCCACUGCAUGGCCCAAGGCCCCAGGACAGAAAGCCAUGGAUGUGCCUCAACUGUGCAGAAAUCCACUGUGCUGCCCUCCAAGAAUCUCUGCAGCCUGAAAGGCUCGGGUCUGGUUAAGCCCUUAAUCUGGACUGUGUUUGGGACUCACCUUGUAGCAGGCACAGUACAAGGAGGAGGGGCAUUUUCCAUCCUGCCCCCUGGUGGAUGACCUGCAAAAAAACACUGUAAAUGGAAAGAGGCCUGAGGGGAGGCAAAUGGGAAGCUGGGUGAGCAGCCCAGGGGAUGAGCACCUUCUGCCUUUGGGACCUCUGUUGGCUCAGAGAAGGGGCUGGGGUGGGUAUAUCCAAGAGCAAGACAAGGACUGCCCUGAUUGACUCUGUCCUCACACUCCUGAGCACGCACAUGGGUCACUGGCACCACAGUGAAGUGUCCCUUACCUUUAGCUCUGUGUAUUCAGAAGAGACAGAACUCUGCUCUAGGAGACCAGCUCCAGCACCCACUUGCUGAUGCCGAGCUGUGAAUUUGGAUGGAGCACGUAGAGUGGAAAGGGCGCAUGCUUGAAGUUGGACCUUAGUUGAAUGGCAGGGCCUUGGAAAAGGUAGUCUCAGGGCUCCAUGGCCCCCCCCAAAUAUGCAUGCUCAGGAGUGGGAGGACAGAGUCACCCCUUCUCAUGGGAAUGAGAGAAUCUGUGUGGGGUCAUUGUGCAACAUAGCUAGGAGUGCGGGUAGGUGGC